UGCACCUGAUUGAUUUUGGUCGCCAACGAGUGGCGGACGGGUGAGUAACACGUAGGUAACCUGCCCAGAAGCGGGGGACAACAUUUGGAAACAGAUGCUAAUACCGCAUAACAGCGUUGUUCGCAUGAACAACGCUUAAAAGAUGGCUUCUCGCUAUCACUUCUGGAUGGACCUGCGGUGCAUUAGCUUGUUGGUGGGGUAACGGCCUACCAAGGCGAUGAUGCAUAGCCGAGUUGAGAGACUGAUCGGCCACAAUGGGACUGAGACACGGCCCAUACUCCUACGGGAGGCAGCAGUAGGGAAUCUUCCACAAUGGGCGCAAGCCUGAUGGAGCAACACCGCGUGAGUGAAGAAGGGUUUCGGCUCGUAAAGCUCUGUUGUUAAAGAAGAACACGUAUGAGAGUAACUGUUCAUACGUUGACGGUAUUUAACCAGAAAGUCACGGCUAACUACGUGCCAGCAGCCGCGGUAAUACGUAGGUGGCAAGCGUUAUCCGGAUUUAUUGGGCGUAAAGAGAGUGCAGGCGGUUUUCUAAGUCUGAUGUGAAAGCCUUCGGCUUAACCGGAGAAGUGCAUCGGAAACUGGAUAACUUGAGUGCAGAAGAGGGUAGUGGAACUCCAUGUGUAGCGGUGGAAUGCGUAGAUAUAUGGAAGAACACCAGUGGCGAAGGCGGCUACCUGGUCUGCAACUGACGCUGAGACUCGAAAGCAUGGGUAGCGAACAGGAUUAGAUACCCUGGUAGUCCAUGCCGUAAACGAUGAGUGCUAGGUGUUGGAGGGUUUCCGCCCUUCAGUGCCGGAGCUAACGCAUUAAGCACUCCGCCUGGGGAGUACGACCGCAAGGUUGAAACUCAAAGGAAUUGACGGGGGCCCGCACAAGCGGUGGAGCAUGUGGUUUAAUUCGAAGCUACGCGAAGAACCUUACCAGGUCUUGACAUCUUGCGCCAACCCUAGAGAUAGGGCGUUUCCUUCGGGAACGCAAUGACAGGUGGUGCAUGGUCGUCGUCAGCUCGUGUCGUGAGAUGUUGGGUUAAGUCCCGCAACGAGCGCAACCCUUGUUACUAGUUGCCAGCAUUAAGUUGGGCACUCUAGUGAGACUGCCGGUGACAAACCGGAGGAAGGUGGGGACGACGUCAGAUCAUCAUGCCCCUUAUGACCUGGGCUACACACGUGCUACAAUGGACGGUACAACGAGUCGCGAACUCGCGAGGGCAAGCAAAUCUCUUAAAACCGUUCUCAGUUCGGACUGCAGGCUGCAACUCGCCUGCACGAAGUCGGAAUCGCUAGUAAUCGCGGAUCAGCAUGCCGCGGUGAAUACGUUCCCGGGCCUUGUACACACCGCCCGUCACACCAUGAGAGUUU
This 1361-nucleotide ribosomal RNA is filed under the name Limosilactobacillus fermentum. RNAcentral's name for it is "bacterial SSU rRNA". It matches the Rfam family "Bacterial small subunit ribosomal RNA", at positions 64 to 1413 of the family's 1533-position model. The record is from RNAcentral. Lineage: Bacteria; Bacillati; Bacillota; Bacilli; Lactobacillales; Lactobacillaceae.